RNAcentral lists this ribosomal RNA (440 nucleotides) under uncultured bacterium. RNAcentral describes it as "partial 16S ribosomal RNA". It matches the Rfam family "Bacterial small subunit ribosomal RNA", at positions 338 to 795 of the family's 1533-position model. The record is from RNAcentral.
CCUACGGGAGGCAGCAGUGGGGAAUAUUGCACAAUGGGGGAAACCCUGAUGCAGCGCCGCCGCGUGAGUGAAGCAGUAAUUCGUUAUGUAAAGCUCUAUCAGCAGGGCAGAAAGUGACGGUCCCUGCGUAAGAAGCGCCGGCUAACUACGUGCCAGCAGCCGCGGUAAUACGUAGGGGGCAAGCGUUAUCCGGAUUUACUGGGUGUGAAGGGAGCGUAGACGGCAGUGCAAGUCUGGAGUGAAAGGCGGGGGCUCAACCCCCGGACUGCUCUGGAAACUGUACGGCGGGAGUGCAGGAGAGGUAAGUGGAAUUCCUAGUGUAGCGGUGAAAUGCGUAGAUAUUAGGAGGAACACCAGUGGCGAAGGCGGCUUACUGGACUGUAACUGACGUUGAGGCUCGAAAGCGUGGGGAGCAAACAGGAUUAGAUACCCUAGUAGUC